Molecule: non-coding RNA, 100 nt
Submitted as: unclassified sequences
Source: Rfam
ACAAUGAUACUCCUGUUCAGUCACAGGUCGAGCGUGAUAAGACCGUCGCAACCAAUGAGGGCAGCCGGUAGAGAACCUACCGGGGGUGAGAUUCCCGUGG